AGGACGAACGCUGGCGGCGUGCCUAACACAUGCAAGUCGAACGCGCUCCAUUCGGUAGCAAUACUGAUGAAGAGCGAGUGGCGAACGGGUGAGUAGCACGUGAGCAACCUGCCCCGAAGACUGGGACAACACCGGGAAACCGGUGCUAAUACCGGAUAUCCCUAUCGGACCGCAUGAUCUGAUAAGGAAAUGGAUUCCGCUUCGGGAGGGGCUCGCGGCCUAUCAGCUAGUUGGUGGGGUAACGGCCCACCAAGGCAUCGACGGGUAGCUGGUCUGAGAGGACGAUCAGCCACACUGGGACUGAGACACGGCCCAGACUCCUACGGGAGGCAGCAGUGGGGAAUCUUGCGCAAUGGGCGAAAGCCUGACGCAGCAACGCCGCGUGGAGGACGAAGGCUUUCUGAGUUGUAAACUCCUUUCAGCAGGGACGAUAGUGACGGUACCUGCAGAAGAAGCGCCGGCUAACUACGUGCCAGCAGCCGCGGUAA
Molecule: ribosomal RNA, 488 nt
Filed under: uncultured bacterium
Lineage: Bacteria
Description: SSU rRNA
Rfam family: Bacterial small subunit ribosomal RNA
Source: RNAcentral